RNAcentral lists this ribosomal RNA (1219 nucleotides) under Turneroconcha magnifica. RNAcentral's name for it is "16S ribosomal RNA". The stretch from base 836 to 1155 matches the Rfam family "Bacterial large subunit ribosomal RNA", at positions 2074 to 2646 of the family's 2925-position model. The record is from RNAcentral. Lineage: Eukaryota; Metazoa; Mollusca; Bivalvia; Venerida; Vesicomyidae.
AUAUUGUAGAGAAAUCUGUUUGAAGUUAGUAUUGUGAAAAAGUAGUAGAUUAUGGUUUCGUGAGAGAUGAUUUAUAUUAUUAGAAAUUAUUAAUUAGUGUUCUUUUUGUAUCAUGAUUUGUAAAGAGUGUAAGAAAAUUUUAUAUCCUGAAAAUUUUAGAGUAAUUCUUAUGUAUUUCUAAUGUUUCAAAAUUAGGGAAAAGAUAAGAAUGGUAAUGAUAUGUUUUUCGAGAAAAUUGAUAGCUGGUUUAAAGGGAAAUAUAUUUAAGUAUAGAUAAAAUUUAUCUAUUAAAAUUAUAGUUGGAUAAAAAUUUUAAUAGGGUUUUAAUUCAGAUUUUAGGGGUAAGCUCUAAAGUGUAGGGGGAAAUAUGUAGUUAGUUAGUAGGGUUGAUAUUGGCCACCUAUAAGAAGUAUUAUUAUAAAGUGAUUACAAAAAAGUUUUCGGUUAAGUACCUUUAUGGUUAUAAUAAUUAUUAAUGAAGAACUUAGUAUAAAAUCAGUAAUAAAUGUUAUAUAAGGUGAAAAUUGUUUUAAAUAAAGAGUUACAAAUGUUGAUUUUUCAAUAGGAGGUUUAUUUUCUAUAAAUGUUUUUAAAAGGAAUUCGGCUAAUUUUUUUUACGCCUGUUUAUCAAAAACAUGGCCUUUUGGUUUGUGCGGACAUAAAAGGUUUGACCUGCCCGGUGGUUUAUCUAAACGGCUGCAGUGAAUAACUGUACAAAGGUAGCGAAAUCAGUUGUCCUUUAAAUGGGGAAAGGUAUGAAAGGUUUGACGAUAAAAAAGCUGUCUCUUAAAAAUAGUAUGAAGUUUCCGUUUAAGUGAAAAGGCUUAAAUUUUUUAAAAAGACGAGAAGACCCUAUUGAGCUUGAUUAUAUUUUUUUAGAGAAAAAAGUUGAAGUUUUAUUGGGGCAAUAGGAAGCUAAAAGAAACGCUUCUUUUUAAGGUAAAGAUCCUUCAUGGGAGAAGUAAGCAAAAGCUACCAUAGGGAUAACAGCGUUAUCUUUCUUAAGAGUUCUGAUUAAGGGAAAGGUUUGCGACCUCGAUGUUGGAUUAAAAUAUCUUUUUGGUGCAGCAGCUAAAAAAGUAAGACUGUUCGUCUUUUAAAAUUUUACAUGAACUGAGUUAAGACCGGUGUGAACUAGGUCGGUUUCUAUCUUUUUUUUAUAGCAGCUUUGUACGAAAGGAUCGGCUGGUAAUGUUUUACUUUUUUCCUAAUAGAAUGA